UGACCGCUGGCGGCAUGCUUUCCACAUGCACGUCGCACGGCAGCGCGGGCUUCGGCCUGGCGGCGAGUGGCGAACGGGUGAGUAAUGCAUCGGAACGUGCCCAGUAGUGGGGGAUAGCCCGGCGAAAGCCGGAUUAAUACCGCAUACGACCUGAGGGUGAAAGCGGGGGACCGAAAGGCCUCGCGCUAUUGGAGCGGCCGAUGUCGGAUUAGCUAGUUGGUGGGGUAAAGGCUUACCAAGGCGACGAUCCGUAGCUGGUCUGAGAGGACGACCAGCCACACUGGGACUGAGACACGGCCCAGACUCCUACGGGAGGCAGCAGUGGGGAAUUUUGGACAAUGGGGGCAACCCUGAUCCAGCCAUGCCGCGUGCGGGAAGAAGGCCUUCGGGUUGUAAACCGCUUUUGUUCGGGAAGAAAUCCUCUGGGCUAAUACCCCGGGGGGAUGACGGUACCGGAAGAAUAAGCACCGGCUAACUACGUG
Molecule: ribosomal RNA, 482 nt
Filed under: uncultured bacterium
Lineage: Bacteria
Description: partial 16S ribosomal RNA
Rfam family: Bacterial small subunit ribosomal RNA
Source: RNAcentral